RNAcentral lists this ribosomal RNA (813 nucleotides) under Alternaria alternata. RNAcentral's name for it is "LSU rRNA". It matches the Rfam family "Eukaryotic large subunit ribosomal RNA", at positions 76 to 907 of the family's 3401-position model. Lineage: Eukaryota; Fungi; Ascomycota; Dothideomycetes; Pleosporales; Pleosporaceae. The record is from RNAcentral. RNAcentral also lists the same sequence under 4 other names.
UGCCCUAGUAACGGCGAGUGAAGCGGCAACAGCUCAAAUUUGAAAUCUGGCUCUUUUAGAGUCCGAGUUGUAAUUUGCAGAGGGCGCUUUGGCUUUGGCAGCGGUCCAAGUUCCUUGGAACAGGACGUCACAGAGGGUGAGAAUCCCGUACGUGGUCGCUGGCUAUUGCCGUGUAAAGCCCCUUCGACGAGUCGAGUUGUUUGGGAAUGCAGCUCUAAAUGGGAGGUACAUUUCUUCUAAAGCUAAAUAUUGGCCAGAGACCGAUAGCGCACAAGUAGAGUGAUCGAAAGAUGAAAAGCACUUUGGAAAGAGAGUCAAACAGCACGUGAAAUUGUUGAAAGGGAAGCGCUUGCAGCCAGACUUGCUUACAGUUGCUCAUCCGGGUUUUUACCCGGUGCACUCUUCUGUAGGCAGGCCAGCAUCAGUUUGGGCGGUAGGAUAAAGGUCUCUGUCACGUACCUCCUUUCGGGGAGGCCUUAUAGGGGAGACGACAUACUACCAGCCUGGACUGAGGUCCGCGCAUCUGCUAGGAUGCUGGCGUAAUGGCUGUAAGCGGCCCGUCUUGAAACACGGACCAAGGAGUCUAACAUCUAUGCGAGUGUUUGGGUGUCAAGCCCGAGCGCGUAAUGAAAGUGAACGGAGGUGGGAACCCGCAAGGGUGCACCAUCGACCGAUCCUGAUGUCUUCGGAAGGAUUUGAGUAAGAGCAUGGCUGUUGGGACCCGAAAGAUGGUGAACUAUGCUUGAAUAGGGUGAAGCCAGAGGAAACUCUGGUGGAGGCUCGCAGCGGUUCUGACGUGCAAAUCGAUCGUCA